UACGUAGGGUGCAAGCGUUGUCCGGAAUUAUUGGGCGUAAAGAGCUCGUAGGCGGGUUUGUCGUGUCUGCUGUGAAAACCGGAGGCUCAACCUCCGGCCUGCAGUGGGUACGGGCAAACUAGAGUGCGGGUAGGGGAGAUUGGAAUUCCUGGUGGUAGCGGUGGAAUGCGCAGAUAUCAGGAGGAACACCGGUGGCGGAAGGCGGGUCUCUGGGCCAUUACUGACGCUGAGGAGCGAAAGCGUGGGGAGCGAACAGG
This 257-nucleotide ribosomal RNA is filed under the name uncultured bacterium. RNAcentral describes it as "partial 16S ribosomal RNA". It matches the Rfam family "Bacterial small subunit ribosomal RNA", at positions 524 to 776 of the family's 1533-position model. The record is from RNAcentral.